GGAAGCGUGGCCGAGUGGUUGAAGGCGCCGCUCUCGAAAAGCGGUAAGGGCGCAAGUUCUUCGUGAGUUCGAAUCUCACCGCUUCCGCCA
This 90-nucleotide transfer RNA is filed under the name Alphaproteobacteria bacterium CG_4_10_14_0_8_um_filter_53_9. RNAcentral describes it as "tRNA-Ser". It matches the Rfam family "tRNA". From Rfam's summary of the family: Transfer RNA (tRNA) molecules are approximately 80 nucleotides in length. Their secondary structure includes four short double-helical elements and three loops (D, anti-codon, and T loops). Lineage: Bacteria; Pseudomonadati; Pseudomonadota; Alphaproteobacteria. The record is from RNAcentral.